This is a non-coding RNA of Potamilus streckersoni, 74 nucleotides long. NCBI's taxonomy places the organism in Eukaryota, Metazoa, Mollusca, Bivalvia, Unionida, Unionidae. The record is from the annotation of a GenBank genome assembly.
AGCUUCGGUGGCCUAGUGGUUAGAGCAUCCGCCUCAAAUGCGGGAGGUCUCGUGGUCGAACCCCGGUGGAGUCA